CCUAGCACAAGCAUUCCUCUGCUUCCUUCCUCCAAAAUCAAAAUGUUCUCUCUAUGUCUUUAGCUAAAGCUCUGCUACAUUGCUUCUGCUUCUGCUUCUGCUUCAUCUUCCUUCUCUGCUUCGUGUUUUGUCCCAAGACAUAAGUGGUCCUUCUCUACAAUCAACCAAGCCUUCUUGUGUUCCAUUUUAGGAAGAGGAAUGAAAC
RNAcentral lists this unclassified non-coding RNA (205 nucleotides) under Hevea brasiliensis (rubber tree). Lineage: Eukaryota; Viridiplantae; Streptophyta; Magnoliopsida; Malpighiales; Euphorbiaceae. The record is from RNAcentral.